UACGUAGGUGGCAAGCGUUGUCCGGAUUUACUGGGCGUAAAGAGCGCGCAGGCGGUCGAUCAAGUCGCGUGUGAAAGCCCCCCGGCUCAACCGAGGGACUGCGCCUGAUACUGUGUGGCUUGAGGGUUGGAGGGGAGAGUGGAAUUCCCGGUGGAGCGGUGAAAUGCGUAGAGAUCGGGAAGAACGCCGGCGGCGAAAGCGACUCUCUGGUCAACUUCUGACGCUGAGGCGCGAAAGCUAGGGGAGCAAACGGGG
RNAcentral lists this ribosomal RNA (255 nucleotides) under uncultured bacterium. RNAcentral's name for it is "partial 16S ribosomal RNA". It matches the Rfam family "Bacterial small subunit ribosomal RNA", at positions 524 to 777 of the family's 1533-position model. The record is from RNAcentral.